AUGUCCCGUUGCGUGGAUCCGCUGGUGGUGGGGCGGGUGAUCGGCGAGGUGGUGGACUUGUUCGUGCCGUCGGUGGCCAUGGCUGUGGCCUACGGCGCCAGGGACCUCAGCAACGGCUGCCACGUCAAGCCCUCCCUGGCCGCCGACCAGCCGCUCGUCGGCAUCUCCGGCCGCCGCAACGACCUCUACACCCUCGUGAUGACGGACCCUGACGCGCCUAGCCCUAGCGAGCCCACCAUGAGGGAGUACCUCCACUGGAUAGUGGUUAACAUACCGGGUGGAACAGAUGCAACUAAAGGUGAGGUGGUGGUGCCAUACAUGGGGCCGCGGCCGCCGGUGGGCAUCCACCGCUACGUGCUGGUGCUGUUCGAGCAGAAGACGCGCUUCCCCUACGUCGCGGAGGCGCCGCCGGAGGAGCGCGCCUUCGCCGGCAACCACGAGCUCGGCCUCCCCGUCGCCGUCGUCUACUUCAACUCCCAGAAGGAGCCGUCCGGGCACCGCCGGCGCUGA
This 510-nucleotide ribosomal RNA is filed under the name Triticum aestivum (bread wheat). RNAcentral describes it as "partial small subunit ribosomal RNA". Lineage: Eukaryota; Viridiplantae; Streptophyta; Magnoliopsida; Poales; Poaceae. The record is from RNAcentral.